RNAcentral lists this transfer RNA (67 nucleotides) under Marmota monax (woodchuck). RNAcentral's name for it is "tRNA.Thr". It matches the Rfam family "tRNA". From Rfam's summary of the family: Transfer RNA (tRNA) molecules are approximately 80 nucleotides in length. Their secondary structure includes four short double-helical elements and three loops (D, anti-codon, and T loops). The record is from RNAcentral. Lineage: Eukaryota; Metazoa; Chordata; Mammalia; Rodentia; Sciuridae.
GGUUGUGGCUCAGUGAUAGAGCCUUUGCCUAGUAUGCAUAAGGCACUGGGUUCGAUCCCUGGCACCA